RNAcentral lists this ribosomal RNA (2922 nucleotides) under Salmonella enterica. RNAcentral describes it as "23S ribosomal RNA". It matches the Rfam family "Bacterial large subunit ribosomal RNA". The record is from RNAcentral. Lineage: Bacteria; Pseudomonadati; Pseudomonadota; Gammaproteobacteria; Enterobacterales; Enterobacteriaceae.
GGGUUGUGAGGUUAAGCGACUAAGCGUACACGGUGGAUGCCCCUGGCAGUCAGAGGCGAUGAAGGGCGUGCUAAUCUGCGAUAAGCGCCGGUAAGGUGAUAUGAACCGUUAUAACCGGCGAUACCCGAAUGGGGAAACCCAGUGUGACUCGUCACACUAUCAUUAACUGAAUCCAUAGGUUAAUGAGGCGAACCGGGGGAACUGAAACAUCUAAGUACCCCGAGGAAAAGAAAUCAACCGAGAUUCCCCCAGUAGCGGCGAGCGAACGGGGAGGAGCCCAGAGCCUGAAUCAGCAUGUGUGUUAGUGGAAGCGUCUGGAAAGGCGCGCGAUACAGGGUGACAGCCCCGUACACAAAAGCGCAUGUGCUGUGAGCUCGAUGAGUAGGGCGGGACACGUGGUAUCCUGUCUGAAUAUGGGGGGACCAUCCUCCAAGGCUAAAUACUCCUGACUGACCGAUAGUGAACCAGUACCGUGAGGGAAAGGCGAAAAGAACCCCGGCGAGGGGAGUGAAAAAGAACCUGAAACCGUGUACGUACAAGCAGUGGGAGCACCCUUUGGGUGUGACUGCGUACCUUUUGUAUAAUGGGUCAGCGACUUAUAUUCUGUAGCAAGGUUAACCGAAUAGGGGAGCCGGAGGGAAACCGAGUCUUAACCGGGCGUUAAGUUGCAGGGUAUAGACCCGAAACCCGGUGAUCUAGCCAUGGGCAGGUUGAAGGUUGGGUAACACUAACUGGAGGACCGAACCGACUAAUGUUGAAAAAUUAGCGGAUGACCUGUGGCUGGGGGUGAAAGGCCAAUCAAACCGGGAGAUAGCUGGUUCUCCCCGAAAGCUAUUUAGGUAGCGCCUCGUGAAUUCAUCUCCGGGGUAGAGCACUGUUUCGGCUAGGGGGCCAUCCCGGCUUACCAACCCGAUGCAAACUGCGAAUACCGGAGAAUGUUAUCACGGGAGACACACGGCGGGUGCUAACGUCCGUCGUGAAGAGGGAAACAACCCAGACCGCCAGCUAAGGUCCCAAAGUCAUGGUUAAGUGGGAAACGAUGUGGGAAGGCCCAGACAGCCAGGAUGUUGGCUUAGAAGCAGCCAUCAUUUAAAGAAAGCGUAAUAGCUCACUGGUCGAGUCGGCCUGCGCGGAAGAUGUAACGGGGCUAAACCAUGCACCGAAGCUGCGGCAGCGACACUGUGUGUUGUUGGGUAGGGGAGCGUUCUGUAAGCCUGCGAAGGUGGCCUGUGAGGGUUGCUGGAGGUAUCAGAAGUGCGAAUGCUGACAUAAGUAACGAUAAAGCGGGUGAAAAGCCCGCUCGCCGGAAGACCAAGGGUUCCUGUCCAACGUUAAUCGGGGCAGGGUGAGUCGACCCCUAAGGCGAGGCCGAAAGGCGUAGUCGAUGGGAAACGGGUUAAUAUUCCCGUACUUGGUGUUACUGCGAAGGGGGACGGAGAAGGCUAUGUUGGCCGGGCGACGGUUGUCCCGGUUUAAGCGUGUAGGUGUGUGUUCCAGGUAAAUCCGGUUCACUUUAACACUGAGGCGUGACGACGAGGCACUACGGUGCUGAAGCAACAAAUGCCCUGCUUCCAGGAAAAGCCUCUAAGCAUCAGGUAACAUCAAAUCGUACCCCAAACCGACACAGGUGGUCAGGUAGAGAAUACCAAGGCGCUUGAGAGAACUCGGGUGAAGGAACUAGGCAAAAUGGUGCCGUAACUUCGGGAGAAGGCACGCUGACACGUAGGUGAAGUGAUUUACUCAUGGAGCUGAAGUCAGUCGAAGAUACCAGCUGGCUGCAACUGUUUAUUAAAAACACAGCACUGUGCAAACACGAAAGUGGACGUAUACGGUGUGACGCCUGCCCGGUGCCGGAAGGUUAAUUGAUGGGGUCAGCGCAAGCGAAGCUCCUGAUCGAAGCCCCGGUAAACGGCGGCCGUAACUAUAACGGUCCUAAGGUAGCGAAAUUCCUUGUCGGGUAAGUUCCGACCUGCACGAAUGGCGUAAUGAUGGCGGGCUGUCUCCACCCGAGACUCAGUGAAAUUGAACUCGCUGUGAAGAUGCAGUGUACCCGCGGCAAGACGGAAAGACCCCGUGAACCUUUACUAUAGCUUGACACUGAACAUUGAGCCUUGAUGUGUAGGAUAGGUGGGAGGCUUUGAAGUGUGGACGCCAGUCUGCAUGGAGCCGACCUUGAAAUACCACCCUUUAAUGUUUGAUGUUCUAACGUGGACCCGUUACCCGGGUUGCGGACAGUGUCUGGUGGGUAGUUUGACUGGGGCGGUCUCCUCCUAAAGAGUAACGGAGGAGCACGAAGGUUGGCUAAUCCUGGUCGGACAUCAGGAGGUUAGUGCAAUGGCAUAAGCCAGCUUGACUGCGAGCGUGACGGCGCGAGCAGGUGCGAAAGCAGGUCAUAGUGAUCCGGUGGUUCUGAAUGGAAGGGCCAUCGCUCAACGGAUAAAAGGUACUCCGGGGAUAACAGGCUGAUACCGCCCAAGAGUUCAUAUCGACGGCGGUGUUUGGCACCUCGAUGUCGGCUCAUCACAUCCUGGGGCUGAAGUAGGUCCCAAGGGUAUGGCUGUUCGCCAUUUAAAGUGGUACGCGAGCUGGGUUUAGAACGUCGUGAGACAGUUCGGUCCCUAUCUGCCGUGGGCGCUGGAGAACUGAGGGGGGCUGCUCCUAGUACGAGAGACCGGAGUGGACGCAUCACUGGUGUUCGGGUUGUCAUGCCAAUGGCACUGCCCGGUAGCUAAAUGCGGAAGAGAUAAGUGCUGAAAGCAUCUAAGCACGAAACUUGCCCCGAGAUGAGUUCUCCCUGAGACUUAGAGUCUCCUGAAGGAACGUUGAAGACGACGACGUUGAUAGGCCGGGUGUGUAAGCGCAGCGAUGCGUUGAGCUAACCGGUACUAAUGAACCGUGAGGCUUAACCUUACAACGCCGAAG